UACGUAGGUCCCGAGCGUUGUCCGGAUUUAUUGGGCGUAAAGCGAGCGCAGGUGGUUUAUUAAGUCUGGUGUAAAAGGCGGUGGCUCAACCAUUGUAUGCAUUGGAAACUGGUAGACUCGAGUGCAGGAGAGGAGAGUGGAAUUCCAUGUGUAGCGGUGAAAUGCGUAGAUAUAUGGAGGAACACCGGUGGCGAAAGCGGCUCUCUGGCCUGUAACUGACACUGAGGCUCGAAAGCGUGGGGAGCAAACAGG
RNAcentral lists this ribosomal RNA (252 nucleotides) under uncultured bacterium. RNAcentral's name for it is "partial 16S ribosomal RNA". It matches the Rfam family "Bacterial small subunit ribosomal RNA", at positions 524 to 776 of the family's 1533-position model. The record is from RNAcentral.